Non-coding RNA from Otolemur garnettii (small-eared galago), 73 nucleotides. Lineage: Eukaryota; Metazoa; Chordata; Mammalia; Primates; Galagidae. The record is from Rfam.
GCGCUGGUGGCUCAGUGGGUAGAGUGCCGGUCCCAUUUACCGAGGGUGGCAGGUUCAAACCCAGCCCAGGCCA